Molecule: ribosomal RNA, 999 nt
Filed under: Sordariomycetes sp. genotype csw055
Lineage: Eukaryota; Fungi; Ascomycota; Sordariomycetes
Description: eukaryotic LSU rRNA
Rfam family: Eukaryotic large subunit ribosomal RNA (bases 478-999)
Source: RNAcentral
UUAGAGAGUGCCCUACUCCCAAAACCCAUGUGAACUUACCUGUACGUUGCCUCGGCGGGGGAGGGGCUGGCCACCCCCCCUCCGCCAGGCGGCCCACCAAACCCUGUUUAGCCCUGAAUCUCUGAGACGAUAAAACAAUGAGUUAAAACUUUCAACAACGGAUCUCUUGGCUCUGGCAUCGAUGAAGAACGCAGCGAAAUGCGAUACGUAGUGUGAAUUGCAGAAUUUAGUGAAUCAUCGAAUCUUUGAACGCACAUUGCGCCCGCCAGUAUUCUGGCGGGCAUGCCUGUUCGAGCGUCAUUUCAACCCCUUAAGCCCUUGUCGCUUAGUGUUGGGAGCCGACGGCGUCCUGCCGUCGCUCCUCAAAUCCAGUGGCGGAGCCGGUUUCGCGCUCUGGGCGUAGUAGAUUUUCUCCAUCUCGCCUGCAGCCGGGGCCGGCCUCCCUGCCGUAAAACCACCACCAAUGUACCCAAAGGUUGACCUCGAAUCAGGUAGGAAUACCCGCUGAACUUAAGCAUAUCAAUAAGCGGAGGAAAAGAAACCAACAGGGAUUGCCCCAGUAACGGCGAGUGAAGCGGCAACAGCUCAAAUUUGAAAUCUGGCCCUCGGGUCCGAGUUGUAAUUUGUAGAGGAUGCUUUUGGCGCGGUGCCUUCCGAGUUCCCUGGAACGGGACGCCUUAGAGGGUGAGAGCCCCGUACGGUUGGACACCAAGCCUCUGUAAAGCGCCUUCGACGAGUCGAGUAGUUUGGGAAUGCUGCUCUAAAUGGGAGGUAAAUUUCUUCUAAAGCUAAAUAUUGGCCAGAGACCGAUAGCGCACAAGUAGAGUGAUCGAAAGAUGAAAAGCACUUUGAAAAGAGGGUUAAACAGCACGUGAAAUUGUUGAAAGGGAAGCGUUUGCGACCAGACCUCUCCCCGGCGGAUCAUCCGGCGUUCUCGCCGGUGCACUUCGCCGGGCUGAGGCCAGCAUCGGUUUCCGCGGGGGGACAAAAGCGGGGGGA